UGCCUAACACAUGCAAGUCGAACGAACCCUUCGGGGUUAGUGGCGCACGGGUGCGUAACGCGUGGGUAACCUGCCCUUAGGUUCGGAAUAACUCAAAGAAAUUUGAGCUAAUACCGGAUAAUGUCUUCGGACCAAAGAUUUAUCGCCUUUGGAUGGGCCCGCGUAGGAUUAGGUAGUUGGUGGGGUAAAGGCCUACCAAGCCGACGAUCCUUAGCUGGUCUGAGAGGAUGAUCAGCCACACUGGGACUGAGACACGGCCCAGACUCCUACGGGAGGCAGCAGUGGGGAAUAUUGGACAAUGGGCGAAAGCCUGAUCCAGCAAUGCCGCGUGAGUGAUGAAGGCCUUAGGGUUGUAAAGCUCUUUUACCAGGGAUGAUAAUGACAGUACCUGGAGAAUAAGCUCCGGCUAACUCCGUGCCAGCAGCCGCGGUAAUACGGAGGGAGCUAGCGUUGUUCGGAAUUACUGGGCGUAAAGCGCGCGUAGGCGGC
RNAcentral lists this ribosomal RNA (489 nucleotides) under marine sediment bacterium ISA-7257. RNAcentral's name for it is "bacterial SSU rRNA". It matches the Rfam family "Bacterial small subunit ribosomal RNA", at positions 45 to 579 of the family's 1533-position model. The record is from RNAcentral.